GUUGCAGUUAAAAGCUCGUAGUUGAAUUUCUGGCAUGGGCGACCGGUGCUUUCCCUGAAUGGGGAUUGAUUGUCUGUGUUGCCUUGGCCAUCUUUCUCUUUUCUUUUUUGGGAAGAAAUCUUUCACUGUAAUCAAAGCAGAGUGUUCCAAGCAGGUCGUAUGACCGGUAUGUUUAUUAUGGGAUGAUAAGAUAGGACUUGGGUGCUAUUUUGUUGGUUUGCACGCCUGAGUAAUGGUUAAUAGGAACAGUUGGGGGUAUUCGUAUUUAGGAGCUAGAGGUGAAAUUCUUGGAUUUCCGAAAGACGAACUAGAGCGAAGGCAUUUACCAAGCAUGUUUUCAUUAAUCAAGAACGAAAGUCUGGGGAUCGAAGAUGAUUAGAUACCAUCGUAGUCUAGACCGUAAACGAUGCCGACUUGCGAUUGUUGGGUGCUUUUUUAUGGGCC
RNAcentral lists this ribosomal RNA (444 nucleotides) under Aurantiochytrium sp. Its description in RNAcentral is "SSU rRNA". It matches the Rfam family "Eukaryotic small subunit ribosomal RNA", at positions 612 to 1076 of the family's 1831-position model. The record is from RNAcentral. Lineage: Eukaryota; Bigyra; Thraustochytrida; Thraustochytriidae.